This 880-nucleotide ribosomal RNA is filed under the name Enterococcus faecalis. Its description in RNAcentral is "bacterial SSU rRNA". It matches the Rfam family "Bacterial small subunit ribosomal RNA", at positions 56 to 908 of the family's 1533-position model. The record is from RNAcentral. Lineage: Bacteria; Bacillati; Bacillota; Bacilli; Lactobacillales; Enterococcaceae.
UGCAAGUCGACGCUUCUUUCCUCCCGAGUGCUUGCACUCAAUUGGAAAGAGGAGUGGCGGACGGGUGAGUAACACGUGGGUAACCUACCCAUCAGAGGGGGAUAACACUUGGAAACAGGUGCUAAUACCGCAUAACAGUUUAUGCCGCAUGGCAUAAGAGUGAAAGGCGCUUUCGGGUGUCGCUGAUGGAUGGACCCGCGGUGCAUUAGCUAGUUGGUGAGGUAACGGCUCACCAAGGCCACGAUGCAUAGCCGACCUGAGAGGGUGAUCGGCCACACUGGGACUGAGACACGGCCCAGACUCCUACGGGAGGCAGCAGUAGGGAAUCUUCGGCAAUGGACGAAAGUCUGACCGAGCAACGCCGCGUGAGUGAAGAAGGUUUUCGGAUCGUAAAACUCUGUUGUUAGAGAAGAACAAGGACGUUAGUAACUGAACGUCCCCUGACGGUAUCUAACCAGAAAGCCACGGCUAACUACGUGCCAGCAGCCGCGGUAAUACGUAGGUGGCAAGCGUUGUCCGGAUUUAUUGGGCGUAAAGCGAGCGCAGGCGGUUUCUUAAGUCUGAUGUGAAAGCCCCCGGCUCAACCGGGGAGGGUCAUUGGAAACUGGGAGACUUGAGUACAGAAGAGGAGAGUGGAAUUCCAUGUGUAGCGGUGAAAUGCGUAGAUAUAUGGAGGAACACCAGUGGCGAAGGCGGCUCUCUGGUCUGUAACUGACGCUGAGGCUCGAAAGCGUGGGAGCAAACAGGAUUAGAUACCCUGGUAGUCCACGCCGUAAACGAUGAGUGCUAAGUGUUGGAGGGUUUCCGCCCUUCAGUGCUGCAGCAAACGCAUUAAGCACUCCGCCUGGGGAGUACGACCGCAAGGUUGAAACUCAAGAAA